This 259-nucleotide ribosomal RNA is filed under the name uncultured bacterium. RNAcentral's name for it is "partial 16S ribosomal RNA". It matches the Rfam family "Bacterial small subunit ribosomal RNA", at positions 1244 to 1500 of the family's 1533-position model. The record is from RNAcentral.
GAGAAGCGAACCUGCGAAGGCAAGCGGAUCUCUUAAAGCCGUUCUCAGUUCGGACUGUAGGCUGCAACUCGCCUACACGAAGCUGGAAUCGCUAGUAAUCGCGGAUCAGCACGCCGCGGUGAAUACGUUCCCGGGCCUUGUACACACCGCCCGUCACACCAUGAGAGUCUGUAACACCCAAAGCCGGUGGGAUAACCUUUAUAGGAGUCAGCCGUCUAAGGUAGGACAGAUGAUUAGGGUGAAGUCGUAACAAGGUAUC